Molecule: ribosomal RNA, 484 nt
Filed under: uncultured bacterium
Lineage: Bacteria
Description: partial 16S ribosomal RNA
Rfam family: Bacterial small subunit ribosomal RNA
Source: RNAcentral
AUUGAACGCUGGCGGCAGGCCUAACACAUGCAAGUCGAGCGGAUGAAGGGAGCUUGCUCCUGGAUUCAGCGGCGGACGGGUGAGUAAUGCCUAGGAAUCUGCCUGGUAGUGGGGGAUAACGUCCGGAAACGGGCGCUAAUACCGCAUACGUCCUGAGGGAGAAAGUGGGGGAUCUUCGGACCUCACGCUAUCAGAUGAGCCUAGGUCGGAUUAGCUAGUUGGUGGGGUAAAGGCCUACCAAGCCGACGAUCCGUAACUGGUCUGAUAGGAUGAUCAGUCACACUGGAACUGAGACACGGACCAGACUCCUACGGGAGGCAGCAGUGGGGAAUGUGGGACAGUGGGGGAGAGCCUGAUCCAGCCAGGCCGCGUGUGUGAAAAAGGUCUUCGGAUUGUAAAGCACUUUAAGUUGGGAGGAAGGGCAGUAAGUUGAUACCUUGCUGUUUUGACGUUACCAACAGAAUAAGCACCGGCUAACUUCGUG